CCUACGGGUGGCAGCAGUGAGGAAUAUUGGUCAAUGGACGCAAGUCUGAACCAGCCAUGCCGCGUGCAGGAUGACGGUCCUAUGAGUUGUAAACUGCUUUUGUACGAGGGUAAACUCCGAUACGUGUAUCGGGUUGAUAGUAUCGUACGCAUAAGGAUCGGCUAACUCCGUGCCAGCAGCCGCGGUAAUACGGAGGUUCCGAGCGUUAUCCGGAUUUAUUGGGUUUAAAGGGUGCGUAGGGGGUUUGAGAAGUUUGAGUUGAAAUGUCGGGGCUCAACCCCGAAACUGCCUCUAAUACUGGUGGACUAGAGAGUAGUUGCGGUAGGCGGAAUGUAUGGUGUAGCGGUGAAAUGCUUAGAGAUCAGACAGAACACCGAUUGCGAAGGCAGCUUACCAAGCUAUAUCUGACGUUGAGGCACGAAAGCGUGGGUAGCAAACAGGAUUAGAUACCCUAGUAGUC
RNAcentral lists this ribosomal RNA (460 nucleotides) under uncultured bacterium. RNAcentral describes it as "partial 16S ribosomal RNA". It matches the Rfam family "Bacterial small subunit ribosomal RNA", at positions 338 to 795 of the family's 1533-position model. The record is from RNAcentral.